UGAACGCUAGCUACAGGCUUAACACAUGCAAGUCGAGGGGCAGCAUGGUCUUAGCUUGCUAAGGCCGAUGGCGACCGGCGCACGGGUGAGUAACGCGUAUCCAACCUGCCUUACACUCUUGGACAGCCUUCUGAAAGGGAGAUUAAUACAAGAUGUUAUCAUGAGUAAGCAUUUUCGCAUGAUUAAAGGUUUACCGGUGUAAGAUGGGGAUGCGUUCCAUUAGAUAGUAGGCGGGGUAACGGCCCACCUAGUCUUCGAUGGAUAGGGGUUCUGAGAGGAAGGUCCCCCACAUUGGAACUGAGACACGGUCCAAACUCCUACGGGAGGCAGCAGUGAGGAAUAUUGGUCAAUGGACGAGAGUCUGAACCAGCCAAGUAGCGUGAAGGAUGAAGGUUCUAUGGAUUGUAAACUUCUUUUAUACGGGAAUAAACGAAUCCACGUGUGGAUUUUUGCAUGUACCGUAUGAAUAAGGAUCGGCUAACUCCGUGCCAGCAGCCGCGGUAAUACGGAGGAUCCGAGCGUUAUCCGGAUUUAUUGGGUUUAAAGGGAGUGUAGAUGGGUUGUUAAGUCAGUUGUGAAAGUUUGCGGCUCAACCGUAAAAUUGCAAUUGAUACUGGCAGUCUUGAGUACAGUUGAGGUAGGCGGAAUUCGUGGUGUAGCGGUGAAAUGCUUAGAUAUCACGAAGAACUCCGAUUGCGAAGGCAGCUUACUAACCUGUAACUGACAUUGAUGCUCGAAAGUGUGGGUAUCAAACAGGAUUAGAUACCCUGGUAGUCCACACGGUAAACGAUGAAUACUCGCUGUAGGCGAUAUACAGUCUGCGGCCAAGCGAAAGCAUUAAGUAUUCCACCUGGGGAGUACGCCGGCAACGGUGAAACUCAAAGGAAUUGACGGGGGCCCGCACAAGCGGAGGAACAUGUGGUUUAAUUCGAUGAUACGCGAGGAACCUUACCCGGGCUUAAAUUGCAACCGAAUAUGGCGGAAACGCUAUAGCUAGCAAUAGCGGUUGUGAAGGUGCUGCAUGGUUGUCGUCAGCUCGUGCCGUGAGGUGUCGGCUUAAGUGCCAUAACGAGCGCAACCCUUGCCGAUAGUUACUAACAGGUCAUGCUGAGGACUCUGUCGGGACUGCCAUCGUAAGAUGUGAGGAAGGUGGGGAUGACGUCAAAUCAGCACGGCCCUUACGUCCGGGGCUACACACGUGUUACAAUGGGGGGUACAGAGGGCUGCUACCACGCAAGUGGAUGCCAAUCCCAAAAACCUCUCUCAGUUCGGAUUGAAGUCUGCAACCCGACUUCAUGAAGCUGGAUUCGCUAGUAAUCGCGCAUCAGCCACGGCGCGGUGAAUACGUUCCCGGGCCUUGUACACACCGCCCGUCAAGCCAUGGGAGCCGGGGGUACCUGAAGUGCGUAACCGCAAGGAGCGCCCUAGGGUAAAACUGGUGACUGGGGC
This 1449-nucleotide ribosomal RNA is filed under the name uncultured organism. Its description in RNAcentral is "SSU rRNA". It matches the Rfam family "Bacterial small subunit ribosomal RNA". The record is from RNAcentral.